GGCAUUGAAAGUUCGCUAGGCCGGACAGAUCGUCGUGUUUGAGUUACGGUCUCGUCACAUAGUUCACGGGCUGAAAUGGCUCCACGAUUGAGAUCGUGGAGCAGGACAGAACUUGCACAAUUCUUUGCUUCAGGUACCCUUUAAGAUGAUGGAGUAGUUCGUGGAGAUGAUCAAUAUUGUGGAGUCGGACAAACUUUGCUCUAAAUUUUGCCGACAUGGAAUAUUUUUCAUGCACUUUUGUACCCCUAGUUUUGGCUCCACAAUUGACCUUUGUAGAGACAUGUAACGACCCCAUUAGUUAUUUUGGGUAAUUGCGUCUAGUUUGACAGUUUGAGGUCACGAGUAACUUCACAUAGUAUAAUAUGACUUGUGUACAUCAUCGGCUCGGGUUUUUGAGAAUAUUGGAAAGGAUUUUUAGAAGUGACUUUUAUUGGAGAAGAUUAAAUAGACCAAGAUUUGACUUUUGAGUAUUUGACUACGGAUUGGAAUUUCGAUGGCUCCGGUAGGCUCGAGUUUUGAAUUUUGCACUUAGGCUUAUGUCCGAAUUUGAAUUUGAAGGUCCAAUCCUAUACACUCUUUGUUUUCUGACUUUAUUCCUAUACGAUGUUUGGAUAAAAGGUUUGGGUGGAUUCUCUUUUUGCUCAGUAUCUUAAGAUUAAUUUUGUUCUUAGAGUAAUUUGCAUUGCUUGAUCUAGAAAGAAAUUAGCACGCUGUUUUAAUUUAAGGUGAAGCUAGAAAAUUCUUGAAUUACUCAUUUGCGCACUUUUUUUUAUCUUUCUUCAUGAUAAGUGAUUGCAUUUGUUUGUUGGUAGGUAUUUUUUCAUUUAGUCAAAUAUUUUUAAUUAAUUUGAAUCAAUUUAACUUAAGAUGCCAUCUGUUGUGAGUAUUUUGUUAAACAAAAUAUGGGUCUCUAUUCACUAAUAAACGUGAAUCUUAAAUGCAUCAGACUAUGGGAUUUAAGAUAUAAGUUA
Molecule: long non-coding RNA, 971 nt
Filed under: Nicotiana benthamiana
Lineage: Eukaryota; Viridiplantae; Streptophyta; Magnoliopsida; Solanales; Solanaceae
Description: long non-coding RNA (NBEN_LNC042568)
Source: RNAcentral